AAUGAGUUUAUGAUUAAAUGAGU
RNAcentral lists this small nuclear RNA (23 nucleotides) under Arabidopsis thaliana (thale cress). RNAcentral describes it as "snRNA_17024". Lineage: Eukaryota; Viridiplantae; Streptophyta; Magnoliopsida; Brassicales; Brassicaceae. The record is from RNAcentral.